This 92-nucleotide ribosomal RNA is filed under the name uncultured bacterium. RNAcentral describes it as "partial 16S ribosomal RNA". It matches the Rfam family "Bacterial small subunit ribosomal RNA", at positions 1393 to 1482 of the family's 1533-position model. The record is from RNAcentral.
CCCGUCACACCAUGAGAGCUGACUGUACCAGAAGUCGCUCGGCUAACCCGCAAGGGAUGCAGGCGCCUAAGGUAUGGUUGGUGAUUGGGGUG